GAGAGGACCCUAUGGAGCUUUAAUUUAUCCAAAAAUAACAUAAUUUAACCUAACCUAAAGGGAUAGUAAAAUUUUACAUGGGUUAACAAUUUUGGUUGGGGUGACCUUGGAGAACAAAAACAACCUCCGAGCGAUUAAAAUCUAGACUCACUAGUGACUAUAUCAGUUAUCACUUAUUGAUCCCAAGGUAUUGAUCAACAGAACAAGUUACCCUGUGGAUAACAGCACACUCCUAUUCUAGAGUUCAUAUCAACAAUAGGAUUCAUGGCCUCGGAUCAGGACAUCCUAAUGGUUUUCAUUUGUUCAACAAUUACAGUCCUACAUGAUCUGAGUUCAAACCAGAGUAAUCCAGGUUGGUUUCCA
This 363-nucleotide non-coding RNA is filed under the name Ailuropoda melanoleuca (giant panda). RNAcentral describes it as "Bacterial large subunit ribosomal RNA". It matches the Rfam family "Bacterial large subunit ribosomal RNA", at positions 2082 to 2640 of the family's 2925-position model. Lineage: Eukaryota; Metazoa; Chordata; Mammalia; Carnivora; Ursidae. The record is from Rfam by way of RNAcentral.